CCAGCACUCUCUCCUCUCCUAUCCACUCACUGACCACCUCUCGCCCUCUCCCCUCCCCGGCUCCCCCCGCCGCAUCGCCGCGCGCGUCGACGAGCCCGCAACCGCGCGACUCCGCCCGCCGACCACCGAAUCGGUCUCAUGAAUUGGCGGGGCUUGGGACUACGACCAGCUGUGUGCGGCGCGAUCGACGGAGGCGGACGCAGCGAGCUUCCUGACCCGGGCGUGCGUGCUCCUCUCCGGCGAGGUCGCAGGUCGAUCCGACGCGGGGCGGCUCGAUCUGCAAGCGGAGCAGCUCCGGCACGGCCAGGGCGACGACUGCUCCCCGACGCCGCCACCCUCCGCAAGGAGCGACGACAGCUCGAAGCUCUGCGGCACGGCGUGCGCCGAGCGACGCGCCGCGGGGGCGCCGCUGCCUCAGCCACCGGCGUGUCCGACCACCCGUCCACGUCCCCACCGCUGCCGCCGGCCGGCCACACGAUGUCGCUCGUCCCGCUGCUUCAGCCGGCCAAGAAACCGGAACGCCCCCCUUGCCUGGCGACCUCGGCAUCUCCAUCGACCGUCUCAGAAAGCGCUACCUCGCUCGGCUCCCGCAUAGCUGAUGCAAGCCAAGAAACAGGGAGUGCCGGCAGUAGUACUCUGAAUCCAUCAAUGCAGCUGAAUCCAUAAUGCUAAUCAAGAGGUGGUUUUGGCCUAACUGGGAUGUGCUUGAGUCCUGCAUAGCCGUGGAGGAGGAAGUUGCUGCCCUUCUUGAGCAGUUUGCAAAGAUCUUCAGUGAGCAAAGAGGGCAGUGGAAGGCAGCAACCCAAUCCCAGGAGUUCCUUUGAACCCUUCAGCGUUAAUACAAUAAUGCUUACACAGAUCCUGAGAAGCCGGAUGCUAUAAAUGUAUUCUUGGGCCAUUUCCAGUCUCAACAAGGCAAACCUCCUUUUGUGGAAGUUGGACUGAGAUCAGCAUUACAAUGUUGGCCGCCAAGGAACUCUAUGUGAAGAAACUGGAAGGUCCAUAGAGGAUGGUUGAUCUGCAUUAGUGAUAUCACUGAGAGGAUGGCGUGGGACAUUCUGAGGCCUCUCUUCCCAAAUGUCACUUGUCAUGCUAGCUAGUUCUUUUGUCAGAUUACUGAGAGCCGGCAACGAAUCUACAUUAUAUAGGCAUGAGAUUGGAGGGUUGUCUGCAUCAUGUAAACAUAACAAUAUACAGGACCGAUAUAAGGCAAAGUUGUAAGCGCAUGGUGUUAACCUUUCGACACAUGGUGAACAUCGUCGGCUACAGGUAUAACCCCUUCGUAAGAGUCGUCACCAUUUGUCCCCUCCAUUGGGCCUGCAACAUCUCCUGUGAUGGUGUUUGACAUGUAUAACAAAAUAUGUAGCUGAACAUAUACAUGGAGGUAGAUAUAUACCUGGAGUAUCAUAUGUGCUAUCACCAUCGGUCUCAAGUAUCAUCCGUUCGUAGGGAGUAAUAUGGACUCCUACAAGUCACGAUGUUGAUACAUCAGAAUCGGUUGUGCCCAAGUCUGUUAGGUAUGAUUUUUCACAUAAAAAGGAUAAAAUUAAGCCUUAUACCUGGACUACGUGGGUACAUUAUGUCAACAACGUCGGCUACGGGUAUAAUCCCUUCAUUAGAGUCGUCAACACUUGUCCCCUCCGUCGGGCCUGCAACAAAUUCAGUUUCCUGGGUUGGUGUUUGACUUGUGUAGCACAAUUUACAGGUGAACAUAUACCUGGAGGUAUCGGCGAUGGUGUCGUCUGUUCUGUUGGCUUGCUGUGUGGAGUCCCCAUAGGUAACUACUAAAAAAAAGACAUGUCUAACAGACUCAGGUAUCCCGCAAAAACUUGUAAACCGACUCUGCAAGCAGAUAACAUGAAAUACCAACAGUACUAAACGCCCGUUCCCAUGCUACAGAAACUCAGUCCAUAAGGGCAGCUUUGCUAUACAUAUGAAAAUAGAAAGACAUGUCCAACAGACUUUGCUACUUUGCAUUUUUUUGAAAACUGAAUUUGCUGGUUAUAAACAUGAUCGGGGUUGCUUGGUCUGAGUAUUGGAGCCUGUUAACAGGAAAAAUGACUACCACGACUGCAUAUUCCAGCUCUGACCUUCCGUAUUAUGUUAAUCAAAUCUAUUGCUAUUUUCGUUCUCAAGCACAUAACUGUAUUACACAAGAUCUAUUUUUAUUUGCACUUCAUUUGAGUUGAGAAUCCGUUUCUGUUGUAACAAAAUAGCAAUAGAUAUGUCGCAUUCCACUUAUUUUGGAACGUCGGGUAAUUUCAUGUGUACCAUAGGUGCAAAAUGAAUUGUGGCAUGGCUUGAUUUAGUUUCUGUUUGCUUUCAUCCUUUUAUUCGUUUGGUUUAUUCCAGGUCCAUAUAAUUAUGAUGUCUUGGAGGGUAUGACGUUCGACAAUAUUUAUGAAUCCUUCAAUGCUGACUUUGAGGAUGGUACAAUCGGGCAGGUAAUUAUUUUUCCUUUUGUCAUGUGAAGCCCAACACUAUGCUCUUAACCAGGUAUGGAUCUUUGAGAGUAUCCUUCAUGGUGAAUAUGGAGAAGGAAUGAAUAUCGAAGUACUUGUUCUAGCUGAAAGGGUAGACCUGCUCUAACCAAAGGACCUUUAGAUGCUUGACUACAACCAUUGCACUUACUGUUGUGGACCGGUUAUAUAGAUUAACCAAUUAUGCCUGUCAUGUAUAGAUUAACCGAAAGUUGUAUAUGUUCCGCCCAAGUUAUCAUGUAUUACAUUUGUGGACAUUUGUAUAUGUUCUGAUCUGUACACGUAUACAUAACAAACAAAGCAUGUGUGUUCA
This is a non-coding RNA of Triticum urartu, 2793 nucleotides long. Lineage: Eukaryota; Viridiplantae; Streptophyta; Magnoliopsida; Poales; Poaceae. The record is from RefSeq and is a predicted model, not a curated record.